Molecule: ribosomal RNA, 499 nt
Filed under: uncultured bacterium
Lineage: Bacteria
Description: partial 16S ribosomal RNA
Rfam family: Bacterial small subunit ribosomal RNA
Source: RNAcentral
AUUGAACGCUGGCGGAAUGCUUUACACAUGCAAGUCGAACGGCAGCACGGACUUCGGUCUGGUGGCGAGUGGCGAACGGGUGAGUAACAUAUCGGAACGUAUCCAAUAAUGGGGGAUAACGAGUCGAAAGAUCCGCUAAUACCGCAUACGCCCUACGGGGAAAGCUGGGGACCUUCGGGCCUGGCGUUAAUGGAGCGGCCGAUAUCUGAUUAGCUAGUUGGUGAGGUAGAGGCUCACCAAGGCGACGAUCAGUAGCUGGUCUGAGAGGACGACCAGCCACACUGGAACUGAGACACGGUCCAGACUCCUACGGGAGGCAGCAGUGGGGAAUUUUGGACAAUGGGCGCAAGCCUGAUCCAGCCAUUCCGCGUGAGUGAAGAAGGCCUUCGGGUUGUAAAGCUCUUUCGCAAGGGAAGAAAACUUAGCUACUAACAUUGGUUGAGGUUGACGGUACCUUGAUAAGAAGCACCGGCUAACUACGUGCCAGCCGCCGCCGUAA